Nannospalax galili (Upper Galilee mountains blind mole rat) is the source of this 2413-nucleotide long non-coding RNA. RefSeq annotates it as diphthamine biosynthesis 6. The transcript has 4 exons. NCBI's taxonomy places the organism in Eukaryota, Metazoa, Chordata, Mammalia, Rodentia, Spalacidae. The record is from RefSeq and is a predicted model, not a curated record.
CGUCACGCCCGUGUCCACGGGGCCCUGCGGCUCUAACCCACAGCACGCAGGCGCAUUGAACCCAGCAUGAGGGUAGCGGCCCUGAUCAGUGGUGGGAAGGACAGCUGUUAUAACAUGAUGCAGUGCAUUGCUGCGGGGCAUCAAAUUGUUGCUUUAGCAAAUCUAAGACCAGAUGAAAAGCGAGUGGGGUCCGAUGAACUGGAUAGCUACAUGUAUCAGACAGUGGGUCAUCAUGCCAUUGACCUGUAUGCAGAAGCAAUGGCUCUUCCCCUCUACCGCAGAACCAUAAGAGGAAGGAGCUUGGAUACAGGACGAGUGUAUACCAAAUGUGAAGGUGACGAGGUUGAAGAUCUCUACGAGCUUUUGAAACUUGUUAAGGGCAUCAGCUAGAGUGAUCUUGCUCACUGAAUAUGAUGCUUGGGGCCUCCAACAUUUUCAUAUGCAUUUGGAAGUGGGCAGCCAGGCGAUUGUUUACAGGACUCCAAAUGAACUGUGCUCCCACAGCAAGUUUGAUAAACAUACAUUUCCUCCUUUUAUCAGUGAGAUUGCAGAAUGUGAAGUAUGAGUUUCCAGUUUUGCUCAUUCCUCUCAACCCUCUUCCUGUUUAAAAAUGUAGACAUGCUAAUUGCAUGCUGAUCAGUCCCUGUUUUUCAUUCUGCUUACUGAUAGUUGAUGGUUUAUCCUAAUACUUACCUAAGCAAGGUUUGAAAAAAACUUCAAAAAUAAACUUUCAUGUAUUCAGUUUAAAGGAGAUUAAUCCCAGGUAAUGUAAUGUGAGCACUAAUUAACAGUAAUGACUGCUAAUCACUUUGCUUUUUAUACUCCUUUAGGAGCACUGCUAUUAUCCAAUACAGUUAAGCAAAAUGGUUAUAUAUGAAUCAACAAUGCUGCAUGCAUCCUUUUAGCAGCUAUUGCUCACAAUCAAGCAUUGCAUAAAUUAGAGUUAACGAAAAUUGAUUUUAAUGUGCUGUUUGUAAAAUUGUAAAGUAAAAUAUCUAGUUAAAAUCUUGACUAUCAAAAAGAUAUUAUCUGACUCCUUUUACAGUCAGCUUGUGGUAAGUGAAACAGUACUGCAAAUACAGUUUUACAGCUGAUGACAUUUUGUCUUAGGUUUCUUUGAAAUUGCAUGUGACUCAGACUCACAGCAGCACUUUGAUUCUGCUGUAUGCAUUAAUGAAAAGCAAUAGGCUGAUGUUUAAUUUUUCUGAAUUUGGAUAGUGACUUCCUAGAGGAUCUUACAGAUUUUUAAAAUUACAUAGUCCAUUUAUAUAAACUUGAUUCAUAGGAUUGCACAUUCCACAUUCAUUAAAAGGGGUUGUUUUAUUAUGUGUAGUGCAUUAUUAGACCAUCAUAAAAGCUUUCUGUUUAUUUUCAUGCAUUCAACAUACCUACGAACUGCCUUGCCUCAGGAGGAGUCUAAGCAAAAGCCAUAAAUUAAUAAUUUAAGAGAGCUAUACUCAAGUAGCAUUUUGGUUAGGCUAAUAGGUUAAAGCCUUGGAGUCAGUACCAGCAACUUUAGUGAUGCUUUACUUUUAACUUUUAUUGGCUAAAAAUGACUUGUUAAACUGGAGCUUUUGUACUAAAAUGAAAUGUAUGUACCAUCUAAAUUCCCUUCCCCUCUUUGAUUUUCAAGUAGGUUGACAUACUCUUCAAGAAUUCCUAUCACUUUUAUAGUUCUGCACUUUUGUUUUGGGGAAGCCGCCAAUCUCUCUGGAAGUUAUAGAGUGACAAAAUGCAUUGUAUACUGGCUUUUCUAGGGAAUUUUUGAUUUAAUAUUAGGGGUCUGAGCUUUGUGAUGUUAUCUGUAUUAAUGGUGAUUCUUACUCUGUGGUAUGGUGGUGUGAUUUGAUAUAUGUUAAUGAAGUAUCUUCCAGUCACAUUUUACUUGUUCUGCCUAGUUUCUUGGGCCAUAACGGUAUCAUUCUCAUAGCUAAUGUAUUUUAUUUCCACAGAGGCUCAGUAAUUCAGGACAUUGAAUUUUAAUUGUUCAAAUGAAAUAAUUUGAUUUUCCUUUCAUUGUUGUGUAUUUGUAGUAUCAAAAUUUUUUAAAUUUGGACAAAUAAGCAAGUGGAAAAAAUUAAAAUGGUAGUGUAAUCUGAAGCUUUAUAUUGUAUAUACUAAUGUUAUUGUAUAUAUUGCAAGCAUAUGUAUUAAAUAAACUGCUGGCACUGUAUGUAAUUGAAUUUAGUUUCAAAAAAUUGUAACAGGAAUGAUAUGAGAGAACAAAAAAUAUAAAUAGAAAAUAUAUGGAAUCUUAAUUUAACACUAUCCAUAUGUAAUUACCAGACUUAUAAGUAUUGUGGGUAGCUUAUUUAUUUUAGAUUAUGUACCUUUGUCCAAGAGUUGUUUAUGAGAAAAAGCUUGCUUUUCUAUUAUAUUCUGACUUUCAGUACUCAUAUGUAAUAAAAUGUUU